CAUCCAGCAUAAUAUACUGGAGUUCGGUGCACCUAUGUAUGAACUUCCAGCAUAUUAUGCUGGACCGG
Molecule: microRNA precursor, 68 nt
Filed under: Nicotiana tabacum (common tobacco)
Lineage: Eukaryota; Viridiplantae; Streptophyta; Magnoliopsida; Solanales; Solanaceae
Description: miR6161c stem-loop (nta-MIR6161c)
Source: miRBase by way of RNAcentral